This is a long non-coding RNA of Portunus trituberculatus (swimming crab), 512 nucleotides long. RefSeq lists it as uncharacterized. The transcript is spliced from 4 exons. The record is from RefSeq and is a predicted model, not a curated record. Lineage: Eukaryota; Metazoa; Arthropoda; Malacostraca; Decapoda; Portunidae.
CGAGGCCAUGGAAGGGAGAGGGGCGGACGCGCUGCUGUGUGCUCGUGGUUCCUGCCUUGUGGAUCCUCGCCAUUUUCUUACCAGGUGCAGCGUGCACUGACUCACACCAGACCUGUUUUAACAGUGGAAAUUGAUGAGGUGCCUCGGAGCCGCCGACCACGAUGGGCGGGCAGACUCUUGCCAGCACGAGGACUGAGGGGGGCUAGGAAAGGUGGUGCUACGUACAACCUGCACACAUUAUUGAAAUUAAAAACGAUCAGAGUUGAUGUGCAGGCUGGGGUGACUGGCCAUCAACACUGAGGUGAAGGUGAGGUGAAGGAACAGAACUGUCCACCUUUCGGGAAGGGACGGGAGUUCGAGGUGGUGCUAACAUGCAGAUAGGAGACUUGUGCGCUAGUCAACUGAAUCACACCUUCCAACUGCACAAAGACACCCUAUCUGAGACUUUGAAGAAGUCUCCAGACCAUCUUAGACUUGGUCCUUGGAGUAUUUUCUCUCUCUCAUAACAUUGC